GACGAACGCUGGCGGCGUGCUUAACACAUGCAAGUCGAACGGCAAGGCCCUGCUUUUGUGGGGUGCUCGAGUGGCGAACGGGUGAGUAACACGUGAGUAACCUGCCCUUGACUUUGGGAUAACUUCAGGAAACUGGGGCUAAUACCGGAUAGGAGCUCCUGCUGCAUGGUGGGGGUUGGAAAGUUUCGGCGGUUGGGGAUGGACUCGCGGCUUAUCAGCUUGUUGGUGGGGUAGUGGCUUACCAAGGCUUUGACGGGUAGCCGGCCUGAGAGGGUGACCGGCCACAUGGGGACUGAGAGACGGCCCAGACUCCUACGGGAGGCAGCAGUGGGGAAUAUUGCACAAUGGGCGGAAGCCUGAUGCAGCAACGCCGCGGGCGGGAUGACGGCCUUCGGGUUGUAAACCGCUUUCGCCUGUGACGAAGCGUGAGUGACGGUAAUGGGUAAAGAAGCACCGGCUAACUACGUG
This 468-nucleotide ribosomal RNA is filed under the name uncultured bacterium. Its description in RNAcentral is "partial 16S ribosomal RNA". It matches the Rfam family "Bacterial small subunit ribosomal RNA", at positions 28 to 507 of the family's 1533-position model. The record is from RNAcentral.